Pseudopipra pipra is the source of this 2198-nucleotide long non-coding RNA. RefSeq lists it as uncharacterized. NCBI's taxonomy places the organism in Eukaryota, Metazoa, Chordata, Aves, Passeriformes, Pipridae. The record is from RefSeq and is a predicted model, not a curated record. The transcript is spliced from 3 exons.
CCCUUCCCUGUUAUCCGCUUCGCAGCGCCAGCGGCAGUCGCGGCCCCGGAGGCAUCGCCGCUGGUGGCUGCAGCAUUCCCGGCUCCGAGAAGGAGCCAGGCUGGCUCUCCUGCUCCCACUAAGUGGCACAGGCAUGGGACUUUUGGGGUCUCCUGUCAGGCCUAGGGAUAGGUGGGGACCCACCAUGGCCCCUCAGAGUACCCUGGCCCUUGUCAGCCCCACUGCCAGGGGGUGAUGUGGGCAGGGGGAUGGAAGCCCUGAAGAGUCCCUGCCUGUGCUUCUCCUGAUAGGCAGGAACAUGGGGAGGUGCAGGCUUGGGGGGGACUCGCACUGACCCCCAGUUCAUCCCUCAGCAGCCCCAGGAGUCCAUAUGGGUCACCCCGUGGAUCCCUGCAGGUCUGGGGAGCCCCAACACCACAAAUCUCCCCCUCCAGAGCCUCCGCCAGCGACAGACAGACGGACAGGCAGCAAUUCCCUGAGGGCACAGCAGGCACCGUGCCCAUGACAACACAGACUCUGCUCCAACAGCCACUUCCCCCUGUGCAUCAAACGGGCUGAGAAAAGCACUGCCCCAUCACCCUGAGACCCUCCCUUCAUGCACCCACUGCCCACCUCCUCACACGCCCCAGCCUCUCUCCUCUGCAAUAUGGGCACAAGCAAUCACAGCUUGCUUUGCCCACCCCAACAUCCGUCUGCCACUCUACCACAGCACCACACACCCCUGCCAGCACCCACAAGACACAGACCAGCUGCUGGGAGCAACUGGGACAUCUCAGAGCAAGGCUGAGCCCUGCAGCACAGGGGACACAAGCCCCCCACGGCAGCUCUACCUCGACCACAGCACAUUCCAACCUUAGAAACCCCAAACAAAACGGGAUUAACAACAACUAAACAGGGUUAAUGCCAAACAGGAGUCAUGCCUUUCCACCCUACAGCCAGUGGCACAGCACAGGGUGCCCACCCUCCACCAGCAACAGGGACAAGGCUCAGGGUAGGGGUCCAAGGCUCACCACACUGCAGACCCCUAAGGGCUCAUUGCCAGGAUGCUUGAGAGGAGGUUGGUGCCAACCCCAGCCACUCCAUGGACCCAGCCAUGUCCUCUGUGCUGGCAGGACGUGACUCCCACCCAUGGCAUCUCUGCAGCCUUGGGAGGCCCCCACUGCCCACACAGAGGGGCUGCAGCAACCCCCUCACACACUGACCCACUCCCACCAGUCCAUGGUGCUGAUAAGCUGCUUUUGUGACCAACCCAUGUGCCUGCGUGGCCAGAUUAGAGCUGGGCAGUGGGCACAGGGCUGGCUGCUGGGGGGGUGCAGCCAUCCUGGCAGCCCCCAAAACACCAUGGACCUUUGCCAAGCUCCUGAUACCAGUGCUGGUAUCUGGAACCAGCAGCAGCUCAUGAUGAGCCCAGAGACCAGACAGGGUAAGGACCACCCAGGGCAGCACCUCUGCCUGAACAGCUCAAGGAGAGGGCAGGGGGGCAGCACUGGGGCUUGGCCACAGCCCACAGACCCACGAGUAGUGCUGCCCAUUCUGCUCGUAGCUGUCCUGCCCUGCCACCCACUCCACCCCUGAGGCAGAGACCAAGCUGAGGCUCUGGGUGACAGCAGGACAGCCCCAACCCUGAGACUGCUCUGUCCAGCCAGGCCCUCCUCAGGAUAAGCAGCCCCAGGGCCUUCUCUCUCUCCCUUCCUUCCCCCACGACUUCUGCACAGCGGGUACGAGCUGUGCUGUCCCUGUCCCGACCCCCGCAUCUCCCAGCAUGACUCAUGUUUGUUGAUCCAGGCUAUUUCCGAGAGCACAGCUGGACUGAUCCCCACGGGACAUCGAGCCCCUUCCCUGCCCCGGCCCUCCUGCUUGGCCCAGUGCCACCCUCACACCACUUGUUUCCCAGAGGGAGGGCAACAGAUGGGUGAUUUCAGGGGAGCCAGGCACGGAGCUGCAGCCAGCAGGAGACAGGAGAUGAGCCACAGGUGCCCAGCACCCACGGUCACUGGAUGGGGCGAGCUGGUGCAGGCUGCCCUGGCACCCCUGACAUGGUGACAGCAAGGGCUGAGCCCAACCUGAGCUUGCACAAGCAUGGCCACAGCACCCAUGGGCACAGCCCAUGCUCCCACUGUACAUCCAAAGCAGCAGCAGGACCCGGCCCUCCUUCUCUUCCAAGUGGAGCAAGACCUGAGGAAGGUGCAUACCAGCUU